AGUGAACGCUGGCGGUAGGCCUAACACAUGCAAGUCGAACGGCAGCACAGUAAGAGCUUGCUCUUACGGGUGGCGAGUGGCGGACGGGUGAGGAAUACAUCGGAAUCUACUUUUUCGUGGGGGAUAACGUAGGGAAACUUACGCUAAUACCGCAUACGACCUACGGGUGAAAGCAGGGGAUCUUCGGACCUUGCGCGAUUGAAUGAGCCGAUGUCGGAUUAGCUAGUUGGCGGGGUAAAGGCCCACCAAGGCGACGAUCCGUAGCUGGUCUGAGAGGAUGAUCAGCCACACUGGAACUGAGACACGGUCCAGACUCCUACGGGAGGCAGCAGUGGGGAAUAUUGGACAAUGGGCGCAAGCCUGAUCCAGCCAUACCGCGUGGGUGAAGAAAGCCUUCGGGUUGUAAAGCCCUUUUGUUGGGAAAGAAAUCCAGCCGGCUAAUACCUGGUUGGGAUGACGGUACCCAAAGAAUAAGCACCGGCUAACUUCGUG
This 492-nucleotide ribosomal RNA is filed under the name uncultured bacterium. Its description in RNAcentral is "partial 16S ribosomal RNA". It matches the Rfam family "Bacterial small subunit ribosomal RNA", at positions 29 to 507 of the family's 1533-position model. The record is from RNAcentral.